UAACCGCGCCCCGAGUGGUAGUCACGUUUAUUGGGCCUAAAGCGUCCGUAGCCGGUUUGGUAAGUCUCUGGUGAAAUCCACUAGUAGACUAGUGUGAAUUGCUGGAGAUACUACCAGGCUUGAGACCGGGAGAGGUUGAGGGUAUUCCACGGGUAAGAGUAAAAUCUUUUAAUCCGUGGAGGACCACCUGUGGCGAAGGCGCUCAACUGGAACGGGUCUGACGGUGAGGGACGAAAGCGUGGGGA
RNAcentral lists this ribosomal RNA (245 nucleotides) under uncultured archaeon. Its description in RNAcentral is "partial 16S ribosomal RNA". It matches the Rfam family "Archaeal small subunit ribosomal RNA", at positions 474 to 718 of the family's 1478-position model. The record is from RNAcentral.